CUGGACUCUUCCCUAACAACCGAGGAGAGAAGCCCCGCCCCCUCUGAGCAGGCAGGAACAAAGUCUGAUCUCCGUCCGACAGCUUGGGCGUUACGAUUCACUUCAGUGAGCCGACUCGUUUGAACUGCCCGUUUAAGAUAUCAGGCAGCAAGUGAACAGUCGGUUCUAGAAGGAUCUGAGCGGCUUUGACAAGG
Molecule: long non-coding RNA, 194 nt
Organism: Ictalurus punctatus (channel catfish)
Lineage: Eukaryota; Metazoa; Chordata; Actinopteri; Siluriformes; Ictaluridae
Exons: 2
Source: RefSeq, a predicted model, not a curated record